RNAcentral lists this unclassified non-coding RNA (5007 nucleotides) under Mizuhopecten yessoensis (Yesso scallop). RNAcentral describes it as "neurexin-4-like, transcript variant X1". The record is from RNAcentral. Lineage: Eukaryota; Metazoa; Mollusca; Bivalvia; Pectinida; Pectinidae.
GUCCCAGGUAAAGGGACGGAAUCCUUGCAAAACACACCUGCGCUUGCCAUGGCGCGUAUGAGACGCUUAAUUUUAUUUCUGGCAAUAACUUGCCAAAUAUGUUACGGAUAUGAAAGAGACAAAACACCAUUCCGUGACAUGGACUGCUUAGAUGGCGGUCCAAUUGGUAUUGGAGUGGAUAGCGGGUCAAGGAUUCCUGAUGGCAAUCUAUGGGCUUCGUCUUCAGCCAGCAAAAUCAGGCUUCCUACUCGGGGAAGGCUCAUGGAAACUGCAGGAUCCUGGACAUCCAAGGUUCAGAACUCUGCACAGUACCUCGGGGUAGAUUUGGGGCGCGACUACUUGCUGACACGGCUCCAGACCCAGGGCAGACAGGGAACUGAUGAAUAUGUUACAGAGUUCAUGCUGUCCUUCUCCGUCGAUCGUACAACAUGGCGGUUCUACUCCAACGAGUUUGGUAUCAGAGAAAUGUUCAUUGGAAACAGCAAUGGAGACAUGGUGAAGACCAACACUCUGAAGUACCCCGUUGUGGCCCGCUAUGUCCGUUUCCAUCCGUCACGCUGGAAUAUGGUCAUCUCCAUGAGAGUGGAAGUUCAAGGCUGUCCCUACACUUCACAGACGGUCCGGUUCGACGGAGGUACAAGCUAUAUCAGUUACGACCUAAGCACGCAGGUUCCUCCACCAAGCAGCGUCGAGGACAACAUUAAACUCCGAUUCAAAACCAACAAACAAGAUGGUGUCAUUAUGUUCGCUGACGGUAACCAAGGCGAUUACAUGUCCCUCGAACUGUCUGGAGGAACACUUCUUUUCCACAUAGAUUUAGGUUCCACUAUGAAAGUUGCUGGGGCCACCAACGAAUUGGGCGGCAACAUGCUUGAUGACAGCCAAUGGCACGACAUCAUUAUACGACGAAAUCGAACAAACAUGAUGCUGAUUGUGGACAGAAUGGAGACACGUUUUGAAACCAAAGGAGCAUUCUACCGACUCAAUGUCGACAAGAAGAUCUUCAUUGGAGGCGUCCCAAGUUUUGACCAGAAAGGUAUAACUGUGAAGACCAACUUCGCAGGUUGUCUGGAAAACGUUGUGUUCAACAGUCUCAAGAUUAUUCGUGACGCGCAGGCAGGACAAAGUGGAUAUCAAAUGGUUGGAUCAGUACCUGACCCCUGGAACUGCAAAUUUACUGCACCCAUCCCCAUGACUUUCUUCACGUUUGACUCGUAUGCUGUGCUGAGAGGAUUUGAUGCAGGUGGUGCCAUUCGUAUCAAGUUUGAUUUCCGUACCCAUGACGAAGAUGGCAUUCUCCUCCACCACGAUAUGGAGGAUGGCGGAUCAAUAAAGGUUAAGCUGGAUGAUAUUGGGUAUGUGACCUACAAACUUAUCACCAAGGACAAUCAGAUCAUCGAGGAUAUGGUUCGUAACACUGCACUUGACGCCAGAUCUGAAGGUUUUGCCGACGGGUUGUGGCACACAUUCCAGCUGCAUGCCAACCAACAGAUGUUGAACAUCACGGUCGAUCGAAAUGCCAAGGUCUCCCGGCGAAGUCUCACCGUAUCGGCUGGUUCUACGUAUUAUCUUGGUGGCUACACACUGGGAAUUAGUUUCCGUGGCUGCAUGAGAUCUAUCGACAUUGACGUCACGCCAGUGAAUAUCAAUGACAUUUCUUCAGCUGACCUGAAGGAUGUGGAGAUCGGGACAUGUGGACUUGUUGACAGGUGUACUCCCAACCCGUGUGAACACGACGGAAUCUGUACACAGGAUUGGAGCAAUUUCAACUGUGACUGCCAGGAGUCUGGCUACACCGGCGAGGUGUGUCACAUCUCAUCCUAUUACCUCUCCUGUGAGAUGUACAAGAUGUACACAAAGAAUGACGGACUCGAGCCAGCUAUAAUUGACCCUGACGGAUCAGGGCCCCUUAAGCCAUUUAAGGUGCAGUGCAACGGCAAAAAUGAGGUGGGCAAACCUGUGGAGACGUGGGUUGGCCACGACAGUGAAGAAGAUAUCCGCGUGGAUGGUUACCAGGCACCCAACUAUUACGUCCGUAAGAUUGGCUACACUGCAGCGUCCAUUGACGAACUGACCGAGGUCAUUGAUCGGGCGGUCAGCUGCCAUCAGACUAUUGACUACAAGUGUAACAACUCUCGGCUCCUGGCCAAACCAAACGAUUCUCCUGAACUGCAUUAUGCUUGGUGGGUGGGGCGGACGUUCCAGCCCAUGUACUACUGGGGAGGGGCAGCCCCAGGGUCGGACAAAUGUUACUGUGGCCUGACUGAGAAGGGCUGCACUGGAGGACUGGCCACCUGUAACUGUGACUCGGGCCUGUCCACCUCGGACAGCGGUCAGCUGGUCCACAAGGAGUACCUUCCAGUCCUGGAGCUUCAUUUUGGUGACACUGGUACAACAACGGACAACAGGCUUGGUUUUCACAAAGUUGGGCCACUCAUCUGCCAGGGAGACAAUCUCCUUGACAACGUGAUUACAUUCCGUAAGGCAGACGCUACCAUCAAGCUGGCUACCUUCGAGGCCGAACCAUCUGGAGAUAUUUGGUUCCAGUUUAAAACGACGGCCAUGGAUGGUGUUAUCAUUCACAACAUUGGAAGUUCACUAGAUGGCAACGCUGACUUCAUCCAAGUUCGACUGUUCAACGGUGACACGAUUGGGUUUAGCUACAACAAUGGAAACGGUAUCAACGUGUUGGAGUAUAAAUCCACCAACGCGCUGAACAACAACUUCUGGCACACCGUACACGUGGAGAGGAACAGGAAGCAGGCAUGGCUCCGCGUCGAUAACUACCCCGAGAAAUACCUCGACGAAGGUCAGGAUGAGGUCACACGUACCCUCGACCUCAUGGGAUUCCUUGUUGUUGGUGCUACAGUGGAAGACAAAAACGGGUUUGUUGGAUGCAUAAGGGGCCUGCGAGUAAACGGUGUGCUCCAGGACCUAAGGGGUCUUGUGGAGCGUGGUGACUUCUACUAUGGUGUGUCGGUCAACUGUAACGGAAAGUGCAACAGCAAUCCAUGCAUGAACGGAGGCACAUGUAUAGAGGGAUAUUCCGGCUACACCUGUGACUGUGCAUACACACCAUGGAGAGGGUGGAUGUGUGGCAGAGAAGUCGGCGUGAAUCUUCAGACCAAUUACCAGGUGAAGUAUACCUUUGACGAAAGCCAGGGAUUAUCAGCCACUGAUUUCAUGAACAUCCGUGUAGGCUUCACCACCAAGAAGAAGCAGGGUAUCCUUCUUCAGCUUCGCGAUGCUGAGAACACGGAAUACGUUUCCCUGGAAAUCAACAACAGUGGUGGCAUAAAAUUUGUGGUUGAUGUUGGUUCUGAACGUUGGGAGCUGAACACCCCUAAUCAUGGAAUAGACUACACCAAUGGGCAGCAGCAUGAGGCCAAGAUGAAGAGAGAGGGCGCAGGAGGCAGAGUCGUCCAUUUACAGGUCGAUAACUAUCCCGAGGCUAUUGACACUCUCGGAGCUUCUCUCAGUGACAGCAUCCUCAACAACCCGAAAUUUCUGUUUGUCGGAAGUAACGACACCAAAAACAGCGCUAAGGGAUUUGAAGGCUGCAUCUACCGUAUGCAGGUUGACAACAUUUAUCCCUUGAAGCGAGCCUUCCAGGAUCCCCGACCAUCAUUUGUAGAACUUAACCCCACAGGGAAGGUACGAGAGGAUAUGUGUGGAUUUGAGGAAGUCACACAGCCCCCAGAUCCAAUUGAGACCCGCCCCAUCGCCGGAGGUCCCUACACAAACAUCACAUUCCCCUACAGCGACGACGGCCUGACCCCCACCGAGAGGGGCGUCAUUGGAGGAGUUGUCGCUUUGAUCUUCCUCAUCAUUAUCAUCCUUGCCAUCAUCGGUUUCAUCUACUUCCGGGAGAAGGGCGAUUACAGCACAAAGGAGGCCAAAGGUCAAGAUCUUGCCGACAACCCCGACACAGCCGUGGUCUACAACCAGACAGGUGUACCAGACAUUGCUAAACGAAGGGAGUGGUUUAUAUAGAUACAUAUCAAUAGUUCAAAUAAAUGUGCUAACAUGUCAACUGUGAAAAAUCAACACUUAGGCAAAAUGUGCUACCUAGACCAAACUACUGCAUUACAUAGCAACAGUUAGGCAAAGUGGGAUAUACCACAAUAGGAGGUUAGCUAAAGUAUCAAUCCGGGUUAGGCAGAAUAAGCUACAAAAUAUGUCAGCAUUUAGACUAAUUGUUCCAGGUUUCAGAAACGUACCUUUAAGUUCAGGAAAUUCCUUAACGCUAGGUCUUGCAAAAGGAAAACUGGGGAAAUCGUAAAUUAAGGAAAUUCCCUUCAGUUAUAUGGAACAGUUGUGAAGCAGACGCCUGUGUUACAUUUCAACAGUUAGGCAAACUAUGCUUCAGGUCUACAUUUAGGCACAGUUAACUAUGCUUCAGGUCUACAUUUAGGCACAGUUAACUUUGCUUCAGGUCUACAUUUAGGCAAGAUGUUUUUGGAUCCGUUGUUAAAUGCAGGAUAAAUUGCAUCAUUACAAUGUAUAAGUUUUGUUUAGUUUCUCAAAGGUCGAAGUGAAUUUUGAAAUGAAGGUAAAAAUAAGGAAAUUUUACGGAACAAUGCUUUGUUUUUUUGUUGGCCAUUAAGUAUAGUAAAAUAUUCCAUUCAUGAUUUUGAAAAUAUUACCGAUUCCACUUUUUUUUUGUCCUGAUAGUCCAAUUGCAUGUAUAAGAAAUCUCAAACCAUACAUUCCAUAUGCCCGCAGUGUGGUAUCUUAAGACAUGAUUGCUUCUCUUGAUAAUGUUUUCCCAUGUUGAUCAACCCAGACUGGAUGAUCUAACUUUAAUUGAUAGGUCUGAUGAAAUCAUUCAAGGAUAAGAGAUGCAAUGUGCUGCCAUUUUAAAUUGUGAUAUCCAUAUUUAUCAAAGAAAACAUAUCAUGAUUGACUCCAUACUGUGUAGUCCUUAGGAAAAAGAUUUUGUAAAAUAAUUUGUAUAUUGUAAAAUAAUGAUUUUGUAUAUUUUGUACAUAUGAAACAUUUUUAUAU